Long non-coding RNA from Sinocyclocheilus rhinocerous, 183 nucleotides. RefSeq lists it as uncharacterized. Lineage: Eukaryota; Metazoa; Chordata; Actinopteri; Cypriniformes; Cyprinidae. The record is from RefSeq and is a predicted model, not a curated record. The transcript is spliced from 3 exons.
CUUCUGCUCAAGCUACUGCACCAAGAAAAGAACAACCCUACGAUUAGAGCAGAGUGCUGCAGAGGCUUGGCAAUGCUACACGUCAGAUGUCUGGACUCGUUCUUCUCCAUGCCGAGUACAAAAUAAAGACACAGAAAGAAUUGGUGCUGAGUCUACGUGCUGAGUUGAGGAAACGCCUCCCCG